RNAcentral lists this ribosomal RNA (497 nucleotides) under uncultured bacterium. RNAcentral describes it as "bacterial SSU rRNA". It matches the Rfam family "Bacterial small subunit ribosomal RNA", at positions 32 to 507 of the family's 1533-position model. The record is from RNAcentral.
CGACGCUGGCGGCGUGCCUAACACAUGCAAGUCAAGGAGAAUUCCCGACUUGUCGGGAUAGUAAACUGGCGAACGGGUGAGUAACACGUAGGUAAUCUACCCUCGGGAUCGGGAUAACCUCGCGAAAAGUGGGGAUAAUACCGAAUAAAGUCUCGGUAUAAUUUGUCGAGAUGAAAGAUGGGGAUCUUCGGACCUAUUACCUGAGGAUGAGCCUGCGCCUGAUUAGCUAGUUGGUAGGGUAAAUGCCUACCAAGGCAACGAUCAGUAGCUGGUCUGAGAGGAUGAUCAGCCACAUUGGGACUGAGAUACGGCCCAGACUCCUACGGGAGGCAGCAGUGAGGAAUUUUGCGCAAUGGGCGAAAGCCUGACGCAGCAACGCCGCGUGACUGAUUAAGCUCUGAGGAGUGUAAAAGUCUGUCGUAGAGGAAGAAACUAUCCGAUAAGAAUAUUGUCGGAUACUGACGGUACUCUAUGAGAAAGCUCCGGCUAACUCCGUG